GAUGAACGCUGGCGGCGUGCCUAAUACAUGCCAGUAGAACGCUGAAGGAGGAGCUUGCUCUUCUGGAUGAGUUGCGAACGGGUGAGUAACGCGUAGGUAACCUGCCUGGUAGCGGGGGAUAACUAUUGGAAACGAUAGCUAAUACCGCAUGACAACAGUUAUUGCAUGAUAACUGUUUAAAAGGGGCAACUGCUCCACUACCAGAUGGACCUGCGUUGUAUUAGCUAGUUGGUGAGGUAACGGCUCACCAAGGCGACGAUACAUAGCCGACCUGAGAGGGUGAUCGGCCACCCUGGGACUGAGACACGGCCCAGACUCCUACGGGAGGCAGCAGUAGGGAAUCUUCGGCAAUGGACGGAAGUCUGACCGAGCAACGCCGCGUGAGUGAAGAAGGUUUUCGGAUCGUAAAGCUCUGUUGUAAGAGAAGAACGAGUGUGAGAGUGGAAAGUUCACACUGUGACGGUAUCUUACCAGAAAGGGACGGCUAACUACGUG
Molecule: ribosomal RNA, 495 nt
Filed under: uncultured bacterium
Lineage: Bacteria
Description: partial 16S ribosomal RNA
Rfam family: Bacterial small subunit ribosomal RNA
Source: RNAcentral